UUUAAUUGAGAUCUUGUAUGAAUGAUUGGACAAAAGAAAUACUGUCUCUGUAUUAAAGUUUAAAUUUAACUUUUAAGUGAAAAGGCUUAAAUAUUCUAAAGGGACGAUAAGACCCUAUAAAGCUUUACAUAAAUAAGUUAAAAUAUCUAAUUUUUUAUAUAAAAAUAUAUUUAGGUUUUUUUGUUGUGUUGGGGAGAUAUAAGCUAUAAUUUGUAUUAACUGCUUGAUAAUUAAUCAAUAAAUUAGUGAGUAGAUUUGUAGAUCCUUUAUUUAAAGAUUAGAAGAUUAAGUUACUUUAGGGAUAACAGCGUUAUUUUUUUAAAGAGUCCAUAUCGGAAAAAAAGAUUGCGACCUCGAUGUUGAAUUAAAAUAUCUUUAUAAUGCAGAUGUUAUAUAAGAAGGUCUGUUCGACCUUUAAUUUUUUAC
Molecule: ribosomal RNA, 426 nt
Filed under: Potamonautes platynotus
Lineage: Eukaryota; Metazoa; Arthropoda; Malacostraca; Decapoda; Potamonautidae
Description: partial 16S ribosomal RNA
Rfam family: Bacterial large subunit ribosomal RNA (bases 301-426)
Source: RNAcentral